Myotis brandtii (Brandt's bat) is the source of this 752-nucleotide long non-coding RNA. RefSeq lists it as uncharacterized. The transcript has 4 exons. NCBI's taxonomy places the organism in Eukaryota, Metazoa, Chordata, Mammalia, Chiroptera, Vespertilionidae. The record is from RefSeq and is a predicted model, not a curated record.
GUUAGAGGGAGAGGAGUGCAUUUGCUGCGGUAAAUAUAUGGUCCCACAGUGCUGCCUGCUUUCUUCCACUUUAGGUGGUUGGUGGCUGACUUCACUGUGGAUGCUUCCUCUGUCAUUAAGGGAGGCCACACUUGAUCAUAGAUUGGAACUUGCUUUGUGGAUUUGCCGUCAUCGGAAAAUCAUGACGUAUCACAGACAGAUGACCUGAGGUUGGACUUGGCUCUCUUGUUCUUCAAUGCAGAGAUAGUCAAAAAGAGCCAUACACAUCUGAUGCAUAUUCUAGCAGCACCGGGGAAGAUAAUAGAAGAUAAGAAACCUGCUAGAUGCUUGGAGGUCAAAUCUCCAUUUCCUCCAGCUCCUUUUGGACCUUGUCCCUCCCGCAGACAACCGGUAUGAAUCCCUCUCUCUUCAUUCCCAGGUGUAGGGAGGUAAGACAACAAUUACAAACCACACAUUUCUACCCUCUAGCAGAAUAUGAUCAAUAGUAAGCUAAAUCCUAUGGUUUAGUUUUAAACUUCAAGAUCUGAUUGCUUUGGGGGCUUCAUUCUUGAUAUUUUGAAUUUAUUAUAUAUAACUAUGUAUAUAUGCAUGCAUACAUAUCUAUUUAAGUCCAUAUCUCCCCUUAAGUACUUUAGUGAAUCUUAUAAUCCCGUGAUAAAGCCCAAGCUCUUAGCAUGCCCGGGAUCUCCUACCCUCAUUCUUUGUCUGGUUGACCCUUCUUCUCUGUAUGGGUUCAGCUCAGCAUACAUCAU